UGGGGAAUAUUUCACAAUGGAGGGAACUCUGAUGCAGCGACGCCGCGUGAGUGAUGAAGGAAUUCGUUUCGUAAAACUCUGUUCUCUGGGAAGAAAAGGACUGUACCAUAGGAGAAAGCUCCGGCUAAAUACGUGCCAGCAGCCGCGGUAAUACGUAUGGAGCGAGCGUUGUCCGGAAUUAUUGGGCGUAAAGGGUGCGCAGGCGGCUUUACAAGUUGGAUGUGAAAUAUUGUGGCUCAACCACAAACGUGCAUCCAAAACUGCAAAGCUUGAGUUAAGGAGAGGGAAGUGGAAUUCCUGGUGUAGCGGUGGAAUGCGUAGAUAUCAGGAGGAAUACCGGUGGCGAAGGCGACUUACUGGACUUAAACUGACGCUGAGGCACGAAAGCGUGGGGAGCAAACAGG
This 404-nucleotide ribosomal RNA is filed under the name Fusobacteriota bacterium. Its description in RNAcentral is "Fusobacteria bacterium partial 16S ribosomal RNA". It matches the Rfam family "Bacterial small subunit ribosomal RNA", at positions 355 to 776 of the family's 1533-position model. The record is from RNAcentral. Lineage: Bacteria; Fusobacteriati; Fusobacteriota.